UGGGGAAUAUUGGACAAUGGGCGAAAGCCUGAUCCAGCCAUGCCGCGUGUGUGAAGAAGGUCUUCGGAUUGUAAAGCACUUUAAGUUGGGAGGAAGGGCAGUAACUUAAUACGUUGCUGUUUUGACGUUACCGACAGAAUAAGCACCGGCUAACUCUGUGCCAGCAGCCGCGGUAAUACAGAGGGUGCAAGCGUUAAUCGGAAUUACUGGGCGUAAAGCGCGCGUAGGUGGUUUGUUAAGUUGGAUGUGAAAUCCCCGGGCUCAACCUGGGAACUGCAUUCAAAACUGACAAGCUAGAGUAUGGUAGAGGGUGGUGGAAUUUCCUGUGUAGCGGUGAAAUGCGUAGAUAUAGGAAGGAACACCAGUGGCGAAGGCGACCACCUGGACUGAUACUGACACU
RNAcentral lists this ribosomal RNA (400 nucleotides) under uncultured bacterium. Its description in RNAcentral is "bacterial SSU rRNA". It matches the Rfam family "Bacterial small subunit ribosomal RNA", at positions 355 to 747 of the family's 1533-position model. The record is from RNAcentral.